Molecule: non-coding RNA, 74 nt
Organism: Parelaphostrongylus tenuis
Lineage: Eukaryota; Metazoa; Nematoda; Chromadorea; Rhabditida; Metastrongylidae
Source: the annotation of a GenBank genome assembly
GCCUCUGUGGUGUGGUAGUAGUAGCACGUGUCCCCGGCAUGGAUGAAAUGCGGGUUCGACUCCCGCCUGAGGCC